Molecule: long non-coding RNA, 120 nt
Organism: Ochotona curzoniae (black-lipped pika)
Lineage: Eukaryota; Metazoa; Chordata; Mammalia; Lagomorpha; Ochotonidae
Exons: 3
Source: RefSeq, a predicted model, not a curated record
AGGAUGAGUGAGUCAGCUGCAUAGUGCUUGGCAGAUGGCAGGUGUUCAAUGGCAGCUGUCACUGAGAGGACAGGAAGUGACCAGCACCCCUAGGUGCAAGGUGAGUAGACAGGUCUGCUG